GACAAUAUGAGAGUGAUCUUUCCAUCUAACCCCUACUUCCCCCACCACCGACGCGCGCAUGCGCAAUGCUGCGGGAGCACACCCUCAAUCCGCCGGUGCUAUUUUCUUGGGUUUUGAAGACGAAAAUUUCGUGCAACACACAGCGAAAAAAUCGACUUAAAAAAAAACCUUUUUCAUCAUUAAAUCUACACUCAUUAAUCUAUUCAUCCAUUCAUUCCUUUAGCUCAUUCAUUCUUCACAUUAAUUCAUCAUUUAAUCAUUUUAUUUUACAGCUCUUCAUAAAAAAAUAUCGUGUUUAAAAAGUGUUCCAGUGAAGACUUGUGUCAUUAUUUGUUUAAAUUAAUUUUGUGGCUUAGCAAAAGUGUUUCAGGGAUCCAGUGACAUCGAUAAUUUUCUCUUUUUCAUUGUGAACAUUUAGAAGAAGUGGGCACAAUGGGGAAGAGAAAAGCAGAGAGGACUCCGAAGAAGACGCGCCGGGCCUGGACUGGUGACACAGUGGAUAAGAGAGGGUGUUCUUUUCAUGGCCAAACUCAGGCGAUGAUUUACUACCUUCAUGGAUACUUCGUAAAGGAGAAAAUCAAUAAUGGACCUUUGAUUGCCGUAUCCCGAGUGAGAAUUUCAGAACCAUCUGGGUGACAGACAACGGAGAAUCUACACCUGAGCAUUUGGAAGAGUAAAAACAAUACACAUAUUAAACAAAUGGUUGA
Molecule: long non-coding RNA, 707 nt
Organism: Diachasma alloeum
Lineage: Eukaryota; Metazoa; Arthropoda; Insecta; Hymenoptera; Braconidae
Exons: 3
Source: RefSeq, a predicted model, not a curated record